This 254-nucleotide ribosomal RNA is filed under the name uncultured bacterium. Its description in RNAcentral is "partial 16S ribosomal RNA". It matches the Rfam family "Bacterial small subunit ribosomal RNA", at positions 524 to 776 of the family's 1533-position model. The record is from RNAcentral.
CACGUAGGGUGCGAGCGUUGUCCGGAAUUAUUGGGCGUAAAGAGCUCGUAGGCGGUGUGUCGCGUCGGCCGUGAAAACCUGGGGCUUAACUCUGGGCGUGCGGUCGAUACGGGCAUCACUGGAGUUCGGCAGGGGAGACUGGAAUUCCUGGUGUAGCGGUGAAAUGCGCAGAUAUCAGGAGGAACACCGGUGGCGAAGGCGGGUCUCUGGGCCGAUACUGACGCUGAGGAGCGAAAGCGUGGGGAGCGAACAGG